UACGAAGGGUGCAAGCGUUAUUCGGAAUUACUGGGCGUAAAGCGUGUGUAGGCGGUCACGUAAGUCGGAUGUGAAAGCCCUGGGCUCAACCCAGGAAGUGCACUCGAUACUGCGUGGCUUGAGUACUGGAGAGGUUGGUGGAAUUCUCGGUGUAGAGGUGAAAUUCGUAGAUAUCGAGAGGAACACCGGUGGCGAAGGCGGCCAACUGGACAGAUACUGACGCUGAAACACGAAAGCGUGGGGAGCAAACAGG
Molecule: ribosomal RNA, 253 nt
Filed under: uncultured bacterium
Lineage: Bacteria
Description: partial 16S ribosomal RNA
Rfam family: Bacterial small subunit ribosomal RNA
Source: RNAcentral